Molecule: ribosomal RNA, 433 nt
Filed under: uncultured bacterium
Lineage: Bacteria
Description: partial 16S ribosomal RNA
Rfam family: Bacterial small subunit ribosomal RNA
Source: RNAcentral
AGCGAACGCUGGCGGCAGGCCUGACACAUGCAAGUCGAACGAACUCUUCGGAGUUAGUGGCGGACGGGUGAGUAACACGUGGGAACGUGCCUUUAGGUUCGGAAUAACUCAGGGAAACUUGUGCUAAUACCGAAUGUGCCCUUCGGGGGAAAGAUUUAUCGCCUUUAGAGCGGCCCGCGUCUGAUUAGCUAGUUGGUGAGGUAAAGGCUCACCAAGGCGACGAUCAGUAGCUGGUCUGAGAGGAUGAUCAGCCACAUUGGGACUGAGACACGGCCCAAACUCCUACGGGAGGCAGCAGUGGGGAAUCUUGCGCAAUGGGCGAAAGCCUGACGCAGCCAUGCCGCGUGAAUGAUGAAGGUCUUAGGAUUGUAAAAUUCUUUCACCGGGGACGAUAAUGACGGUACCCGGAGAAGAAGCCCCGGCUAACUUCGUG